GAAAUAAACCUGAUGGGUUGUUGCUGGUUCUCUAGGGAGCAUGUGCACACCUGGUCAUCUUUAUAUCUCCACCUGUGCACCUUUUGUAGACCUUCCGGGUCUAUGUUGCUUCAUUUACCCCAAUGUAUGUUAAUAGAAUGUUGUGACUAUAUAAAAAUAUACAACUUUCAGCAACGGAUCUCUUGGCUCU
Molecule: unclassified non-coding RNA, 190 nt
Filed under: rhizosphere metagenome
Description: partial ribosomal RNA internal transcribed spacer region
Source: RNAcentral